This 63-nucleotide transfer RNA is filed under the name Cryptotympana facialis. RNAcentral describes it as "tRNA-Cys". Lineage: Eukaryota; Metazoa; Arthropoda; Insecta; Hemiptera; Cicadidae. The record is from RNAcentral.
AGCUUUAUAGUUAAAAAAUUAAUAUUAAACUGCAAUUUUAAAGUUGAAUUUAUUCUAAGGCUU